This 20-nucleotide small RNA is filed under the name Arabidopsis thaliana (thale cress). RNAcentral's name for it is "Ath_wt_06983". Lineage: Eukaryota; Viridiplantae; Streptophyta; Magnoliopsida; Brassicales; Brassicaceae. The record is from RNAcentral.
CGCAGUUAAGCGUGCUUGGG